RNAcentral lists this transfer RNA (67 nucleotides) under Drepane punctata (spotted sicklefish). RNAcentral's name for it is "tRNA-Cys". The record is from RNAcentral. RNAcentral also lists the same sequence under 1 other name. Lineage: Eukaryota; Metazoa; Chordata; Actinopteri; Ephippiformes; Drepaneidae.
AGCCUCGAGGUGUUUUUACAUGUCAGAUUGCAAAUCUGAAGUGGCAGGCUAGCCCCUGCCGGGGCUU